Oxyura jamaicensis (ruddy duck) is the source of this 1218-nucleotide long non-coding RNA. RefSeq lists it as uncharacterized. The transcript has 2 exons. The record is from RefSeq and is a predicted model, not a curated record. Lineage: Eukaryota; Metazoa; Chordata; Aves; Anseriformes; Anatidae.
GUUGGUCCUACAUAACUUCCAGCCAUCAGACCUGCCGGGAGGAAACGCUUUCAUGUGCACUCAAACAGGAAGUGGAGGAUGGUUUCUAAAGUGCAAGAAGAAUACUCUGAGAGCAGUUGAGAACCUCUUCAGGUAUCACGAACAUGUUCUCCAACUGAAAUGUGGCUACAGUUCAAUAGCAGUUACACAACAGGAGGGGGUUUGCAGAGUACUGCAAGUCCUGGAUUCAUAGGAACUGGUUUUAGAGAGAAGACCUCGGGUUCCUCCAGAACUUUUAACUCCCAUGAAUGUAAAUGAGGACUCAUCUGCAGUAGUGAAGAGGAAAUUUACUCCUGUUGUUGACACUGGACAGGAGGAUUAGGAUAGGGGACUUAAUGUGUGCUAGGCAGAGCACUGCCUUUGAAAAACUGCAGGCAGUCCAAGUACAGGAGAUUCCAUUUGUGGGAAAAUCCCCUUUGGGAAGGCACACUAACAAUGGGGAGAACUUGGUAAACAAAGGAAACAAGUUGAAUGUGCUACUUCUCAGCUAAGUGCAGGCAUUUCUCUUCAGGUGGCGUGGCUUAAGGUGUCCUUUGAAGACUACAGAAUUAUUGCCAGACCACAUUCCCAUUUCUCUUGAGAUCAUAAAUGCACUUGUAUAGUUCAGGGCCACCCAAGUAGCUUUAGUCUCGGUCGAGUGAGAGAAUAUCUUCUGAUUUAAAAAUAGGAGUGCUUCUUACACUUAAGUCCUGCAGAGCUAUUGGAGCAGUGCACUGAAGGUAAGCUUUCCCCACCCACGUGUUGCAAGAGACUGGCACACCGAGAUCACUCAGGUGGGGUCCAGGGCUGAACACCUGGCACACCUUCGGCUGGCUGUGAUCUGGCUGUCACGUACCCAACAAGCACACCUCAGCAGUUCCACGUGGAACAAGAAAGUUAACACUGGGGCUGCGCUGGUUCAGAUGUGUUCUGUGUGCGCUGUGCUCAUUGGCACAAUGCUUGAUUUCACGCUGUGUUGCAUAAAGCACGCAGGGUAUCAUGUCGAGGUUACACUGGGUACAGACCCUGCUCUCUUGCCAGUAAUCCUGGGAAGGUCUAUUUUUGUUGUGUAGUGGUAAACCUGGGUUUGUAAAUGAUACUGCCCCACUCAGGAGCCAGUGUGCCUGUCCAUGCCAGACAAGUAGUCCGUGAGCUGACAAAUCCUUAAGUAUGGGGCUAGUUUUGAGUAAUUUAAAAAAA